This 444-nucleotide ribosomal RNA is filed under the name Triticum aestivum (bread wheat). RNAcentral's name for it is "partial small subunit ribosomal RNA". Lineage: Eukaryota; Viridiplantae; Streptophyta; Magnoliopsida; Poales; Poaceae. The record is from RNAcentral.
AUGGCGUUGCUCCAGGGGAAGCCGUCGGCGUCGCCGCCGGCGCCGAGGAGCCCCACCAUCUCGUCCGCCGCGCCGGAGGUCUUCUCCGACACGCCGGCGUCCCGGCCGCGGCUCCGGGCCGUCUCCGCCAGCGGCGGCAUGUCCGCGACCACGUCGCCGCCCACGACCCGGUCCACCCUGCCGGACCCGGCCAGCGCGCUGGCCACGACCAGCACCACCAGGGCCGAGGCGGCCAGCACGGCGACGCACGCGCGCCACCUCACCCCGCCGCCGCCGCCGCCGCGGCGCUCCUCCGCGACGUCGGACGGGGCCAGCGGCGCGUACGCGUACGGCAGCGCCGUCUCGCCGGGACUAAUGGCCCGGGACUCCAUCGACGACGGUUUCCAAGAAAAAGUCUAUGAAUCGGUUCCGGCGGAUCGGUGGACGGGUGGAGGGAGUGGAUAG